UACAGAGGUCCCCAAGCGUUGUUCGGAUUCACUGGGCGUAAAGGGUGCGUAGGCGGUCGGGUAAGUCUGAUGUGAAAGCUCGGAGCUCAACUCCGAAAUGGCAUCGGAUACUAUUCGGCUAGAGGAAUGGAGGGGAGACUGGAAUACUUGGUGUAGCAGUGAAAUGCGUAGAUAUCAAGUGGAACACCAGUGGCGAAGGCGAGUCUCUGGACAUUUCCUGACGCUGAGGCACGAAAGCCAGGGGAGCAAACGGGAUUAGAAACCCUUGUAGU
This 272-nucleotide ribosomal RNA is filed under the name uncultured bacterium. RNAcentral describes it as "partial 16S ribosomal RNA". It matches the Rfam family "Bacterial small subunit ribosomal RNA", at positions 524 to 794 of the family's 1533-position model. The record is from RNAcentral.